RNAcentral lists this ribosomal RNA (767 nucleotides) under uncultured bacterium. RNAcentral describes it as "bacterial SSU rRNA". It matches the Rfam family "Bacterial small subunit ribosomal RNA", at positions 1 to 748 of the family's 1533-position model. The record is from RNAcentral.
UACAGUUUGAUCAUGGCUCAGAACGAACGCUGGCGGCGUGCCUAACACAUGCAAGUCGUACGGGAAAUCUGGAGCAAUNNNNAGAGUACAGUGGCGCACGGGUGAGUAACGCGUGGGUAACCUACCCUUGGGUUGGGGAUAACUCCUCGAAAGGGGUGCUAAUACCGGAUAACAUUUUGAUCUCCACGGGGAUUGAAAUCAAAGGUGGCCUCUGCAUGCAAGCUACUGCCCGGGGAUGGGCCCGCGUACCAUUAGCUAGUUGGUAGGGUAACGGCCUACCAAGGCUCCGAUGGUUAGCUGGUCUGAGAGGAUGGCCAGCCACACUGGAACUGAGACACGGUCCAGACUCCUACGGGAGGCAGCAGUGGGGAAUCUUGCGCAAUGGGGGAAACCCUGACGCAGCAACGCCGCGUGGGUGAUGAAGGCCUUCGGGUCGUAAAGCCCUGUCAGGUGGAAAGAAACCCACCGGUGCCAAUAGCACCGGUGAUUGACGGUACCACCGGAGGAAGCACCGGCUAACUCCGUGCCAGCAGCCGCGGUAAUACGGAGGGUGCUAGCGUUGUUCGGAAUUACUGGGCGUAAAGCGCGUGUAGGCGGUUGGGUAAGUCAGAUGUGAAAGCCCCCGGCUUAACUGGGGAACUGCAUUUGAAACUGCCUGGCUGGAGUUCGGGAGAGGAGAGUGGAAUUCCUGGUGUAGAGGUGAGAUUCGUAGAUAUCAGGAGGAACACCGGUGGCGAAGGCGGCUCUCUGGCCCGACACUGACGCUG